CACGUAGGGGGCGAGCGUUGUCCGGAUUUAUUGGGCGUAAAGAGCUCGUAGGCGGCUCAGUAAGUCGGGUGUGAAAACUCCAGGCUCAACCUGGAGACGCCACCCGAUACUGCCGUGGCUAGAGUCCGGUAGGGGAGCAUGGAAUUCCUGGUGUAGCGGUGAAAUGCGCAGAUAUCAGGAGGAACACCAGUGGCGAAGGCGGUGCUCUGGGCCGGAACCGACGCUGAGGAGCGAAAGCGUGGGGAGCAAACAGG
Molecule: ribosomal RNA, 254 nt
Filed under: uncultured bacterium
Lineage: Bacteria
Description: partial 16S ribosomal RNA
Rfam family: Bacterial small subunit ribosomal RNA
Source: RNAcentral